This 425-nucleotide ribosomal RNA is filed under the name uncultured bacterium. RNAcentral describes it as "partial 16S ribosomal RNA". It matches the Rfam family "Bacterial small subunit ribosomal RNA", at positions 354 to 796 of the family's 1533-position model. The record is from RNAcentral.
GUGGGGAAUCUUAGACAAUGGGGGAAACCCUGAUCUAGCCAUGCCGCGUGAGCGAUGAAGGCCUUAGGGUUGUAAAGCUCUUUCAGCUGGGAAGAUAAUGACUGUACCAGCAGAAGAAGCCCCGGCUAACUCCGUGCCAGCAGCCGCGGUAAUACGGAGGGGGCUAGCGUUGUUCGGAAUUACUGGGCGUAAAGCGCACGUAGGCGGACCGGAAAGUCAGAGGUGUAAUCCCAGGGCUCAACCUUGGAACUGCCUUUGAAACUCCUGGUCUUGAGGUCGAGAGGGGUGAGUGGAAUUCCGAGUGUAGAGGUGAAAUUCGUAGAUAUUCGGAGGAACACCAGUGGCGAAGGCGGCUCACUGGCUCGAUACUGACGCUGAGGUGCGAAAGCGUGGGGAGCAAACAGGAUUAGAAACCCCAGUAGUCC